CCCACAAAGCCAAGCGAACGUUGGGCCCGCCGCCUUGCGUCACGCGCCCGCUGAUCGACGGUCACGUGGGCGGCUGCGUUGCGUCCCCUCCCCUCCCCCCCGGCCUGGGUGGCCUGAGGAAGAAGGAGGGAGGUGGACGGAAGGGGCGGGGGCGUAGCUGACGACGACGCCGCCCCCACCAUUUUGGAGCGGCUUCUCCGGAGGCUGAAGGAGGCCCUGAGCCCCACCCACUCGCCCGCCUUCCUGCGUCCUCGGAACUUCUCCAGGCUGGCGGCCGCCCGGCGGCUUGGUUUCCAUUCUCCGCCAUGCCCUCCUCCCGCUUUGUGACCUUGAGCAAAUCGUUUAUAUAUAAAGCGAGUUCACAGGUUUUCCGGAAGUCGUCUACAUCAUGCCAUGACCAGGGCAAAAUACUGCAGACACAAUGAUGAACUAAAUGAGUGCCAUCUGCCUCCUCUCCAGCCCAGAGACUAUCCCAUGGUCCAGGUUUUACCCUUUCUUCUCAGCCAGUCAGUUCCAUCGAGUCCCCUCUCCUCCUCCACUGAUCAUCGUGGCUGUGGCUCAUGACCUUUCCCCGCCGUAACCAGUGCCACCACCAGCUCUGUUCAUCCUUUCAUUGGUGCCGUGGACUCGGAUAGGAGAUUCUGCUCACUCAGCAUCCGGGGCUGAGUGUUGUUGGAAACCUAUACCGAGGACCUGCAACUGCCUGCUAUGAGACGCAUUUGCCCAGCUGCCACCGCUGUCACAUGUGCUGCUGAGAUUGUUCCCUCUUCUAAUUAACUGAUCAACUAAUGGCUGCUUCGGACCACCACAGAACUAGAGUUCAUCCAGGGAUCAUCAAGUAAGAAACUGUAACAGCUAAAAGCCCACCUUCGGUAACUUCAGCCUGAGAGUUUGACACUGGCCGUGGAAACUGGAGAAUCCUACAAGCCUCGUCCUUCGGGAAAGCACCCCUCCCCCACAUCAUCUGUAUGCAGCCACCAGCAGAGCCCCAAACCUCACUGGGACUGAGUUUCCCAGCAGCCUGCAGAGCAGUUUCCAGCAGACAAGCUGAUUUAGAAUGCUUAAAGAAGACUAAAAACACAGCCGAAGCUGACCAGGACCGUCUCAUCCUCUUACCUCCAGCUCCCAGUGUUGAGAAUUACAGGCUGUGUGACCACAGCCAGAAACGAGGCGUUUCUUACAUCUAAUUCUGUGGACCAAACUGCUUUCAAGGCAUGCCAGCAAAGGAAGUCAAGAACCUGGUCCUACUGAUGCCAGAUUCGUGCCCAAUGUUCUGGCCAAUCUGGGCAUUUCUAGUUCUGAGGUUGUAGUCAUGUGCCACCAUGCCCAGCUCGACUGUCAAGAUUCCUAUGUGUUAAUUCAAGGAUGGCUUUGCUCCAUCACAAGCCCCUAUCUGCAGGUGAGGAAACAAGCUGACAAAAUCAGGACGCUAGGCUAAAAGAGCCUGGCAAGAAGCCGGAUGGACGGACAGUGCCUGCCGCUGACAAUUCUUCCAUCUGUACGAGCUCAUUUGACCACCAGGAGGCGCCAGAUGCCUGUGGAUGGGGAGGAGCGGGUGCCCGCAAAGGGCCUACAGUGAAUGGUCUUUUGAGAGCAGUUGGGGGACUGGGUGGGAGGGCACAUCCAGCGAGCCUGGGGAGUCGUGGUACAGAAAGCGUGUGUAAGGGUUGGGGGAGGUGUUGUAAGAGAGCCAGGGUUCAGGAACGUUGGCGGCUGGAAUCGGAGCCGAGGGCAUGCUGUGGCCUCCUGGUUCUGCCUCGUCUGGCCCUGUUGGGGGAAAAGGGCAGCUCUAGGGAAAAGCAGAGUUCUCUAAAGGGCUGGGCCCCUGCCUCCACCUCAGAUCUCCUCAGAGAAGUUCAGAGCCUGGAAUAGACCGGACAUUCCUAAGUUUUCUGGCAAGGAAACCAGGAAAUCAGAUCUUGAGCCAAUCUCCUUUCAGGCCCAGCCAGUUCUGUCGAAUAGGCCCUUGCCCCAGGACUUCCCGGAAAAGCUCCGCUGUGCCAGGGAAGCCACCCUUAGUUUCCCGAAUCUGCGGCCUCUAAGAUGUACUGCGGUGUGGUUCCCUCUCCCUGGCCAUGGGUCAGAUCCAUCUUCUAAGCAUGCACAGUGAACGCUUCUCCGUGGGACACAUUAGUGUGUCUCCUUAAGUCCUCUUCCAGUUCCUUCUUCGUGAACGCCUGCGUCUGCAGGGUGGAACCUGAAAAGCUUGGACUCACCGUUAGUCCCCGUUCCUUUUUCACUCCCCACGUCCAGGGAGCGUUUCCACCUCUUGGUUUUCCACCCCGCACUGGGCCAGGUGCCCAGCAUCUCUUCACUAGGAUCACUGUUAGUGCCUGAAGCUCCACCGUGGCUUCCUCCAAAACCUUUUCCAAGUGGCAGUCUUGAUAACCGGGGUAUGUCCCCUACCUGCUGAACCUGCCCAGCAGCUUCCUGGUGUUUCCUUUUAAUAAAAAAUAACUUAUUAUUA
Peromyscus maniculatus bairdii (prairie deer mouse) is the source of this 2467-nucleotide non-coding RNA. The record is from RefSeq and is a predicted model, not a curated record. Lineage: Eukaryota; Metazoa; Chordata; Mammalia; Rodentia; Cricetidae.